GUAGGGGGCAAGCGUUGUCCGGAAUUAUUGGGCGUAAAGGGUCCGUAGGCGGCUUAUCAGGUCAAGUGUGAAAUCCCAUGGCUCAACCGUGGAACUGCACUUGAAACCGGUAGGCUAGAGUUUAGUAGGGGGAGAUGGAAUUCCAGGUGUAGCGGUGAAAUGCGUAGAUAUCUGGAAGAACACCAGUAGCGAAGGCGAUCUCCUGGGCUAUAACUGACGCUGAGGGACGAAAGCUAGGGGAGCAAACAGGAUUAGAUACCCUGGUAGUCCUAGCUGUAAACGAUGGACACUAGGUAUCGGGCGUAUCGACACGCUCGGUGCCGCAGUUAACGCAUUAAGUGUCCCGCCUGGGGAGUACGGUCGCAAGACUA
This 371-nucleotide ribosomal RNA is filed under the name uncultured organism. RNAcentral's name for it is "partial 16S ribosomal RNA". It matches the Rfam family "Bacterial small subunit ribosomal RNA", at positions 527 to 896 of the family's 1533-position model. The record is from RNAcentral.